RNAcentral lists this ribosomal RNA (273 nucleotides) under uncultured bacterium. RNAcentral's name for it is "partial 16S ribosomal RNA". It matches the Rfam family "Bacterial small subunit ribosomal RNA", at positions 524 to 796 of the family's 1533-position model. The record is from RNAcentral.
UACGGAGGGGGCUAGCGUUGUUCGGAAUUACUGGGCGUAAAGCGCACGUAGGCGGAUCGGACAGUCGGGGGUGAAAUCCCGGGGCUCAACCCCGGAACUGCCUCCGAAACUCCCGGUCUGGAGGAUGAGAGAGGCGAGUGGAAUUCCGAGUGUAGAGGUGAAAUUCGUAGAUAUUCGGAGGAACACCAGUGGCGAAGGCGGCUCGCUGGCUCAUUUCUGACGCUGAGGUGCGAAAGCGUGGGGAGCAAACAGGAUUAGAAACCCUAGUAGUCC